Long non-coding RNA from Alnus glutinosa, 237 nucleotides. RefSeq lists it as uncharacterized. The transcript is spliced from 3 exons. The record is from RefSeq and is a predicted model, not a curated record. Lineage: Eukaryota; Viridiplantae; Streptophyta; Magnoliopsida; Fagales; Betulaceae.
CAUCUCAAAAAAUUUUCAUGAAAACCAUCUCCCUAUUCCUCUCUCGCAAGACGAUCCGGCCACAAUCUCUUUGUUGCUAGCCAAGAAUCACAGCAGGUGACUAGUUAGCAGUCGAGAUAGUCCAGCGACUUAUUGCAAUCAGAGAGGUUAUGAACAGAGAGACCUAGGCUGCCGGGAUGGGAUCUAGGCUAGCAGUAGGAUAUUAUUUUUCUGUUACCUUAAUAAGUGCACUUGCAC